GGAGGAAAGGAGAGCCUGUAAGCUCGGUUUUGUGCCCCCGCAGAGUGAGGGGGGUACAGACCCUUCGUCAUUCUGUGUCCUGCGUCGGGGAGGGGUUUGCUUGUUUGUUUGUUUGGCUGCACUGGGGAUUGAUACAGGGCUUCCCUCGUGCUUGCUAAGUGCUCUGCCUCUGAGCUAUAUCUCCCACCUCUCUUCAUUUUCCUAAAUUGCCCUGGCUGGUCCCUAGUCUCGGGGAUUACAGGCAUGGGCUACACCAACCAGCAGGGGAAGGCUUUUACUUUGGGGGUGAGGUAACUGGGAGGGGUUUUUACUGCUCCCAGUAUCUGGCCUUGUCUAAAAAGGGUGGGCCUAUGUGUUGAUAGAAGUCAGUUAUUAGUGGAAAGCUCCCUGGAACCUCCCCAGGGAGGUUGACACACCUCCUUGGCCCCACCUCUGCCCCCCUCCUGCCUAGUCACCCUCUUUGCCUGACCCCAUUGUGGCAGACUUGAGGUUCAGAAGGACCUCUGCUUACAGGGGUACUAUGCUGUGCCCUGUGGUGGAAGCAUGUCCUCUCUAGGCACUAAAACCCCUCCAUUGCAGGGUUCAGGGUAGCAGGAAAAGGACGCAAAUAUUUGGCUUUUUCUUUUUGUUUCCCCCUAGAGCUGGAGAUGGAACGCACGUCUCGGCUCAUGCUUGUUGGGCAAGUGCUCUACCACCAAGCUACACCCCCAGCCCAAGAUGCAAACAUUUGAAGAGUGAGUCACUGGGUGUGAUUUUCAGAAAUGGCCCUCUUAGGUUCCCAAGUCUGUGUAAUCUGGCAUCACACAUGUGUCCCUGGUUCAGUGUUUACCCAUCCUGUAGGACAGCACCCCAACCCCAAGAUGUUAUCCCCAACCUGGAACUGCCACCAAGUCUCACACAGGCUGUGCCUCUGUUCCACAAGGCUAGCUGCAUUGGGGUGAUGGGGUACAUGGACAGCACCCCCCUACACACACGCUGACCUCUUCGUAAAUUGAGUUCCCUGAUCAGAAGCAAUAUUGUGUGUGUGUUAACAUCGUGGUGAAUAGAGCCAUUCAUCGCACACAGAAAGGCUGCUUUUGGCAGAAGUGCAAAGGGCAAGGAAAGCAAAUAGCAAGGCCAGAGUUAUUUAUUCCAGGGAGGAAAAACUCAUUGCCCAAUCCAUGAUGGAAGGGGUCCAAUGUAAUCCUCAACUGACCAGGCCUUGACGACCUUGCUAGGAGUCUGUGCCUUGGUGGGGGUUCAGCAGUGGCUGCUGCCAACAAGGUGGGCAUUCCUCAGUGACGGAGCUGGCUAAGGUUGGUGGCCCACCAUGGCCAUGGGCUCAGGAGUCUACUGAGCAAGAACUGGGGAGGCUAGUGGAAGUCUGACUGGGAGCCACAGAGCAGCCUCUGACCUACCAGAUGACAUAAUAGCAUUCCCUGUGACACUCUCUGUUUGGGGGAGAGUUCGCCUGGGAUACAGAUUUUACUCCAUUUGUCACUUCUAGAGCUUCUAACACUAAACAUGUGGGUUUUAUUUUAUACACCAAAAGUCAAGUUUCUGGCACACCGGCACCAACUGGGUAACCAAUGUUGUAAUUCCAUCCCAGCACUGCCUGAAGUUAGGGUCUAGCCCUACGGCUGAUGGCUCUGUCCUACCAGGCUUCCCCCACUAGAUGCAAAUAUGGGGCCUGGGCCUCCCAUGGCUCUGAACACUGCUGUAUCAGGAACCCCAGGACCUCCUUCUUGGGUUUGAUGAUUUGCUAGAAGGGCACAUAGAAUUUGGGAAGGCACUGGUAUAUUUUAAAGGACAUAUUUUGUGUAUCACAGUCUCAUACAGAUGUACCAUACUUUGGGCCCUUUUGACAUUUGUUCAGUCACCCAUGAAUAUUUACGAGAAUCUCCUGUGUUGGAACAAAGCAGGCUAAGAAGUGCCCACUCCCCUGGAGGACAUCUUCCCUUUUCACCAGUGACACAGGGGUCAAGAUGAAAUCACGUCUUUAUCUGGAGAGAAUGUUCUUACUGGCCUCUGGCUAUAGGGUUCCCAAUGUCUUCCCUGAGGUGCACACUGGCAGUUUCCUGGGCCUGAUCACCUCCCCUGUAUCUGUUCCUCCCUGGUUUGGGGGUCUUAUCAGCACAGUAUCAUCAGAGCAGCUGACCAGAAAGCUGUCCAGAAGGUUUUGAAAAACCUGAUCUCCUGGGGAGUCCAUUUGGAAGUGACUUGAAGAAAGAAUUUCACCUUUAGAACUGCCAUUCAUCCCAGUUAGCUUCCUAGGGCACCGGCACACAUGAUCACAAUCUUUUCCUCUUCUUUUUCUUUCUUUCUUCUUCUUCUUCUUUUUUUUUAAUGGUACUGGAGAUUGAAUUCACACAUACUGACUAAACACUCAGGGUCACUCCAGGUGAACUGGGCUGCACAAAAUAAUCACUCAGAGACAAAGAAAUACCUUUCUCUUUGGGUCCUGUGAUGGCUCCUCUGACUUUAGGGGUCCAUGGAAAGAGAGAGAGGAGCACAUGCUGAACCCUUUUAUGGGAAAGAAGCCAUUCAAAUGAGGCAAAGGGUCAGGUUUCAGGGGGUUGAGUCUAGCUUCCUGAUGUCUGAAUCUAGGGAGGCCACGCCCAUCUCAUGAGCUAUGUGGGGAUCAUGGUAGAGCGAGGCCCAUCCAAACAGAGGACAACGUGGAUUCAGUCCACUUUGCGUGCUUAAUGCCCAUAGUUCACACACACACAGCCCAGGGCUGGCUGGCCACAUCUCCACAUCCCCAUCACUCAGGGUUCCUCCUACGUGGCAGCUCCCGACACUGGGCAAGCACUCUACCACUGAACUACAGCCCCAGCUCUCUUUUAAAAUCUUACUUUGAACAAGGCAGGGGUGGCACACACCUAUAAUCCCAGCCACACAGGAGGCUGAAGCAGGAGGAUUGUAAAUUCAAAGCCAUCCACAGCAAUUUAAGACCCUCAGCAAUUAGCAAGUUACUAUCUCGGCUGGGUGUGGUACACACGCCUGUGAUCUCUGUCUCAAAUAAAAAAUAAAAAGGGCUGGGGAUGUGGCUCAGUGGUUAAUCACCCCUGUGUUCAACACACACACACACACACACACAUACACACAAAUUUCUUUGACUUUGAGACAAGGUGAUGCUAAGUUGACCAAGAGGACCUCCAACUUGAGAUCCUCCUCCUUCAGCCUUCUGAGUAGCUGGGAUUGCAGCUGUGUGCUACUGUGCCUGGAAAAUUAUCAUAAUCUGUGUGGUUUAAAACAAUAGAAAACAUUAAUCUCUCCAAGUUCUGCCCCUGAACAAGGGCUCCCACCCUCUUCUGGCUUCUGCGGGCCUCCCUGCCUCCAUCUCCACAUUGCUGUCUCCUGGGUGUCUGGUCAAAUCUCCCUCUCUCUCAUCAUGAUAGCUAUCACUGUGUUAUGGCUUAGCUCUUCAGUGAGCCCUAAAGACCCUGUUGUUGAAGGCUUGAUCCUCAGCUGACGGUGCUGUUGGGUAGUGGAACCUGUAGGACCCUGGGCCCGCCUCUCUUAUUUUGCUCCCUGGCCUCCACCAGAUGAACAUCUGUCCUCUAUUGCGUGCUGCUGCUGUGAUGUUCUGCCUCACCGUGGGUCCAAAAGCCGUGGAGUCAAUGAGCCAAAAUAAAUGUUUCCUCCUUGUAAAACUGAUUGCCUCAGCAAGAUGGCAGCCAGCACAGGCUUGGGCAAUUUAUGAAAACCAAAUAUAUAGCCUUAAAAUAGAACAUGGACCUAAAUACCUAGAAGCACCCCCUUUGUAAGAGUUGUAAUGAAAAUUAAUAUGAAUGGAGUAAAGAGUUCUAAUGGAUUGGAGGACCCAAGAGCCAUAUCAGUGCUAGCAAAAUGGCAGCAUUCACAUAGCAUCAAAGUUGUUCUGUAAGAGCUGUGGCACUUAAUGAUGUCAUAAAAAGAAAAUAUGAAACUCCCUCAGCCACUGGAAGGACAGUGUUACUUCAAUUAAUUUAAAUAAAUAAAUAAAUAAAUACAUAGGGGCUGGGGAUGUGGCUCAAGUGGUAGCGUGCUCACCUAGCAUGCAUGAGGCACUGGGUUUGAU
Molecule: long non-coding RNA, 4042 nt
Filed under: Marmota monax (woodchuck)
Lineage: Eukaryota; Metazoa; Chordata; Mammalia; Rodentia; Sciuridae
Source: RNAcentral